This 301-nucleotide ribosomal RNA is filed under the name Scaphocalanus major. RNAcentral's name for it is "partial 16S rRNA". The record is from RNAcentral. Lineage: Eukaryota; Metazoa; Arthropoda; Copepoda; Calanoida; Scolecitrichidae.
AAUUAGUUUUUUAAUUGAAAAAUAGAAUGAAUGGUUAUACUAAAAAAGCGUAUCUAAAAUUUAAAUUUGAAUUUUUAAGUUUAGUGAAAAUACUAAAAAUUUUUUAUGGGACAAAAAGACCCUAUGAAGCUAUUAAAAAUAAAAAAUAUAAAAAUAGAAAAAAUUUUUUUUAAUUUUUUGGGGAAAAAUUUAAAAUUUUUAUUAUUAUUUAUUAACAUAAUUAGAGCCUUAUGGAAUUUUGAGUAAGCUCCCCUAGGGAUAACAGCAUAAUAUUUAAAAAAGUUCUAAUUAGAAUAAGUGU